Molecule: long non-coding RNA, 225 nt
Filed under: Bos taurus (domestic cattle)
Lineage: Eukaryota; Metazoa; Chordata; Mammalia; Artiodactyla; Bovidae
Description: long non-coding RNA NONBTAT012662
Source: RNAcentral
CAGGGUGCGAAGCAGCCGGAGAUUUUCACCAGGCAGAUUAAAAAAAAAAUCUACCUACUGUGGCUUCUAAAAGAAAACAACACGUGCUUUUACAGAAACCACGCGUGAUGCUAAACUGAAGGCCCCUCUCCACGGGGCACACGAGGGCACAGGUGACGGGGUCAGGCACAGCACCCAGCUCUACUUUCAGAGACAGGGAACCCAGCUGCCUGACUCCUCCUGUAC